This 484-nucleotide ribosomal RNA is filed under the name uncultured bacterium. RNAcentral's name for it is "partial 16S ribosomal RNA". It matches the Rfam family "Bacterial small subunit ribosomal RNA", at positions 30 to 507 of the family's 1533-position model. The record is from RNAcentral.
AUUGAACGCUGGCGGCAGGCCUAACACAUGCAAGUCGAGCGGAUGAAGGGAGCUUGCUCCUGGAUUCAGCGGCGGACGGGUGAGUAAUGCCUAGGAAUCUGCCUGGUAGUGGGGGAUAACGUCCGGAAACGGGCGCUAAUACCGCAUACGUCCUGAGGGAGAAAGUGGGGGAUCUUCGGACCUCACGCUAUCAGAUGAGCCUAGGUCGGAUUAGCUAGUUGGUGGGGUAAAGGCCUACCAAGGCGACGAUCCAUAACUGGUCUGAGAGGAUGAUCAGUCACACUGGAACUGAGACACGGUCCAGACUCCUACGGGAGGCAGCAGUGGGGAAUAUUGGACAAUGGGCGAAAGCCUGAUCCAGCCAUGCCGCGUGUGUGAAGAAGGUUUUCGGAUUGUAAAGCACUUUAAGUUGGGAGGAAGGGCAGUAAGUUAAUACCUUGCUGUUUUGACGUUACCAACAGAAUAAGCACCGGCUAACUUCGUG